AAGCGUGUCACGGGGAGCUGGCCGUUAGCCGGCUGAGAGGAGGCUGUUAUCGUCUCGACCCGCAACCUGAUUUGGAUAAUGCCAACGUAGGGAUGUGUAUUCGUGUGUGA
RNAcentral lists this non-coding RNA (110 nucleotides) under Lachnoclostridium sp. An118. RNAcentral describes it as "TPP riboswitch aptamer (THI element)". It matches the Rfam family "TPP riboswitch aptamer (THI element)". From Rfam's summary of the family: Vitamin B(1) in its active form thiamin pyrophosphate (TPP) is an essential coenzyme that is synthesised by coupling of pyrimidine and thiazole moieties in bacteria. The previously detected thiamin-regulatory element, thi box was extended, resulting in a new, highly conserved RNA secondary structure, the THI element, which is widely distributed in eubacteria and also occurs in some archaea. The record is from Rfam by way of RNAcentral. Lineage: Bacteria; Bacillati; Bacillota; Clostridia; Lachnospirales; Lachnospiraceae. RNAcentral also lists the same sequence under 1 other name.